GGCUAGCGCUCUCUGGAGCAACAGUUAUGAAGAAGGAAGUAGGACAGUCAGGCAGUUACAACAGAAUGUUCAGCCCAGCUAUGGGGCCCUUUACAGUCAUCCUCAAGCCGGGCGAAGGGAAAGAAAGAUCAUUCUCAUAGAAUAUGGAGGAUAAAUUAAAGAGAUGCCAAACAGAUGCUAGUUGUGAGACAUCAUGAAAGACAGAAAUAAGAAUAGUGAAAAUAUCAUUGAGGUUCGUGGAACCCAAGUGGAGAAUCACUGGAGAAGUAGGAUCUGGAAUUGGACAAAUCUUCAAAUCCUGGAUCUAGCGCUCUCCUGGGAACAUGAUCUUGAACAAGUUCCUUAACCAUUCUAAGAUUUCUUGUGUUCAUGUGUGUGAUGGGUAAAAAUAGUAACACUAUGUACCAAAGAAGAUCAAAGUGCUCAUCAUACUCCCUUGUAUUUAUCAGGCACUUAAAAAUGUUACCUAUUAUAUUAUUAGUUUUUCCAUAUCCUCAUCUCUGAGAGGAAAGGGUGAGGAUAGAUCAACAAAACUAUGGAUGAUAUUAAAGGAGCUGGAGUGAGCUGCCUGCAUUAUAGAUUUAUUUAAACUGUGGAAGCUUAAAGUUUGCAGCAUUCUAAACUGAUUUAAGAGUUGACAAUACAUGAUAUCGAUUUUAAUAGUUUGCUAACCUUUAGCAAGAUUCCAGAUAAAAUGCCGCAUAAAGCAAAGGAUUUUGAUACCUUCAAUCCUUUGAUUUCCCUCUCUUACCUUGUGUUUUCCCAGUUUUUUGCUCCUCAGCACACUGCCCCUCCAGAUCCAAAAUGGGUCUGUGACUUUCUUGAACGUACUAAUUAGUUAUUAUUGAUUUUCAAUAAGAUCUUUUUUGGUGAAAUAUACAAGCGAUGUAUUUGCACAUGGACUUUCUUGGGCUUUGAUAUCAACACAUUUGUUUUCAGUCCUAUCCAGUUACCUUCUAGAACCCAGACAUUUCGUCAUCUUUCUAAAUGCCAAAUUCACUAUCUUUCUUAUUCCUUCAAAGCACAGUAAAACACAGAUAUCACCUAGGGAGAGACCAUGAGUCAGUAUAAGGUCUAAACCUAGAGAUCAGAAAUGCCACAAAUUAAUUUUAUUCCAAUGUCUUUUCUUCAACUUAGCUUAGCACCUUGAACUUAUCAGAAAAAAUAAUAUGAGGAUACAAAUUAAUCAAUUAAUUGUGUAAUCACACAAUCACAAAUGUUUAUUUUAGGAUAUAAGAAGAGAGUUUUACAAAUGACCAUGAAUAGACUCAAAUGACUAAGUAUGCUUGAGUACAUAAUUACCUCCCCUGAGUGCUAUAAGAAUUAAUGAGUUAAUGUUUAAAAAGCAAUUUGAAAUGUUUUGAUGAGAAAUGCCAUUAA
Molecule: long non-coding RNA, 1380 nt
Organism: Equus caballus (horse)
Lineage: Eukaryota; Metazoa; Chordata; Mammalia; Perissodactyla; Equidae
Source: RefSeq, a predicted model, not a curated record